Long non-coding RNA from Oncorhynchus tshawytscha (Chinook salmon), 1281 nucleotides. Lineage: Eukaryota; Metazoa; Chordata; Actinopteri; Salmoniformes; Salmonidae. The record is from Ensembl.
UACUAGAGAAAAUACAGGUUUAUUUUAAGACAGAGUGGAUUUCUGUGGUAGUACAUGUCAGUUUCCGACACAUCACAGUACUAUGCUGUAGCCCUGGAGGGGAGAUGAUGUCUAGGUAGCUGUUGUAAAAAUAGGCCCCAGUAGAACACUCCCCUCCAUAUGUAUUUGGACAGUUAAACAUUUUUAUUUGGCUCUAUACUCCAGAAUUUUGGAUUUGAGAUUAAAUGUUUCGUAUGAGGUGAAAGUACAACAUGUCACCUUUUAUUUGAGGGUAUUCUCAUAUAUAUUCCUAUCUGUUCUACCGUUUAGAAAUGAAAACACUAUAUGUAUCUAGUCUCCCCCAUGAGAGUAAGUCAGUAGUAUUUGGAAAAAUUCACUUAUAGCGUAUUCAAAUAGUCAAAGGUUUAGUAUUUGGUCCCAUAUUCCUUGAUUUGGUCCCAUACAGUAUUCCUUGAUUAGAUGUUUCUAAAGGAAUCCUGAUAAUGCCAUGAUAAAGACAAAUCAUGAAUGAAUCAUAAAUAAUGCCAUUCGACUAAAUAAGCAUGGGUGGGGUAUGAUCUUUGUGCCCCAUAUCAUUAUUCACGAUUAGCAAUAAUCAUGGUAGCAUCCACAUGAAACAUAUUGGCACAAGACAUUAUUCACCAUUCAGUUCCAAAACAUAAUCAGAAACACAACCAAUACUAACCACAAAAGCACCCAUUUAUGAAUUUUUAAAAACUUUUUACCCCUUUUUCUCACCAAUUUCAUGAUAUCCAAUUGUUAGUUACAGUCUUGUCCCAUCACUGCAACUCACGUACGGAGUCAUGCAUCCUCCAAAACACAACCCUGCCAAGCUGCACUGCUUCUUGACACUGCUCGCUUAACCUGAAAGCCAGCCGUACCAAUGUAUCGGAGGAAAUACCGUACAACUGGCGACCGUGUCAGCAUGCAUGCGCCCGGCCCACCACAGAAGUCGCUAGAGCACAAUGGGACAAGGACAUCCCGGCCGGCCAAACCCUGCCCUAACCCGGACGACACUGGGCCAAUUGUGCGCCGCCUCAUGGAUCUCCCGGUCGCAGCCGGCUGCCACACAGCCCGGGUUCAAACCCGGGUCUGUAGUGACGCCUCAAGCACUGUGAUGCAGUGCCUUUGAGUGCAGUGCCACUCGGGAGGCCAGCACCCAACACAUUUGAAAAGUCACAAGCUUGAUGUAGUCAUUGUGUGCAAGGAAAAUGGUACCAAAUGCUAAAUUUUUGACUUAAGUCCAAAUACUUAUGAUUUCUUCAAAUGGGGGGACGAGAU